AGGGUUUGAUCCUGGCUCAGAACGAACGUUGGCGGCGUGGAUCAGGCAUGCAAGUCGAACGAAUCCCACCUGGGUAACUGGGUGGGGGAAGUGGCGAAAGGGGCAGUAAGGCAUGGGUAACUUGCCCCGGACUUCGGGAUAGCCUUCCUAACGGAUGGGUAAUACCGAAUGCCGUAGCGUGGGGGCAUCCUCGUGCUACGAAAGCUCCGGCGGUCCGGGAGGGGCUCAUGUGGUAUUAUGCUAGUUGGUGGGGUGAAGGCCCACCAAGGCUGAGAUGCCUAGCGGGUGUGAGAGCACGACCCGCGCCACUGGCACUGUGACACUGGCCAGACUCCUACGGGAGGCUGCAGUCGAGGAUCUUCGGCAAUGGGCGAAAGCCUGACCGAGCGACGCCGCGUGUGCGAUGAAGGCCUUCGGGUUGUAAAGCACUGUCGAGGGGGAGAAAAGGCAACCUGAUCGACCCCUGGAGGAAGCUCGGGCUAAGUUCGUGCCAGCAGCCGCGGUAAGACGAACCGAGCGAACGUUGUUCGGAAUCACUGGGCUUAAAGGGUGCGUAGGCGGGCCGUCAAGUCAGGGGUGAAAGCCUCCAGCUCAACUGGAGAAGUGCCUCUGAUACUGGCGGCCUCGAGGGAGGUAGGGGCGUGCGGAACUUCCGGUGGAGCGGUGAAAUGCGUAGAUAUCGGAAGGAACACCAGUGGCGAAAGCGGCGCGCUGGACCUCUUCUGACGCUGAGGCACGAAAGCCAGGGGAGCAAACGGGAUUAGAUACCCCGGUAGUCCUGGCCCUAAACGAUGGGCACUAGGUUGCGGACUUACAUGGGUUCGCAGCCGAAGCAAAAGUGUUAAGUGCCCCGCCUGGGGAGUAUGGUCGCAAGGCUGAAACUCAAAGGAAUUGACGGGGGCUCACACAAGCGGUGGAGCAUGUGGCUUAAUUCGAGUCUACGCGAAGAACCUUAUCCUGGGCUUGACAUAUGCGAAAGCGCUAGGUGUACCCCGGGGAAACCCGGGGGAACCCCGCAAGGGGGGACCUAGCACAGGUGCUGCAUGGCUGUCGUCAGCUCGUGUCGUGAGAUGUCGGGUUAAGUCCCAUAACGAGCGAAACCCUUGUCUCCAGUUGCCAGCGCUUCGGGCGGGGACUCUGGAGAGACUGCCGGUGUUAAACCGGAGGAAGGUGGGGAUGACGUCAAGUCCUCAUGGCCCUUAUGCCCAGGGCUGCACACGUGCUACAAUGGCGUACACAAAGGGAAGCGAGCACGCGAGUGUCAGCAAAUCCCAAAAAAUACGCCCCAGUUCAGAUCGGAGGCUGCAACUCGCCUCCGUGAAGUUGGAAUCGCUAGUAAUCGCGGGUCAGCAACACCGCGGUGAAUGUGUUCCUGAGCCUUGUACACACCGCCCGUCAAGCCACGAAAGAUCGGGGGGGGCCAAGUCGCCGUGCGAACCGCAAGGACGCAAGCGCCUAACCCUCAACGGUCAAUUGGGACUAAGUCGGAACAAGGU
Molecule: ribosomal RNA, 1496 nt
Filed under: metagenome
Description: bacterial SSU rRNA
Rfam family: Bacterial small subunit ribosomal RNA
Source: RNAcentral